GACGAACGCUGGCGGCGUGCUUAACACAUGCAAGUCGAACGAUGAAGCCGGAGCUUGCUCCGGUGGAUUAGUGGCGAACGGGUGAGUAACACGUGAGCAAUCUGCCCUUGACUCUGGGAUAACUGCGGGAAGCUGUAGCUAAUACCGGAUACGACACCUUGGGGCAUCCCAGGGUGUGGAAAGAAUUUCGGUCAAGGAUGAGCUCGCGGCCUAUCAGCUAGUUGGUGAGGUAAUGGCUCACCAAGGCGACGACGGGUAGCCGGCCUGAGAGGGUGGCCGGCCACACUGGAACUGAGACACGGUCCAGACUCCUACGGGAGGCAGCAGUGGGGAAUAUUGCACAAUGGGCGCAAGCCUGAUGCAGCAACGCCGCGUGAGGGAUGACGGCCUUCGGGUUGUAAACCUCUUUUAGUAGGGAAGAAGCGAAAGUGACGGUACCUGCAGAAAAAGCACCGGCUAACUACGUGCCAGCCGCCGCCGUAA
RNAcentral lists this ribosomal RNA (483 nucleotides) under uncultured bacterium. Its description in RNAcentral is "partial 16S ribosomal RNA". It matches the Rfam family "Bacterial small subunit ribosomal RNA", at positions 28 to 523 of the family's 1533-position model. The record is from RNAcentral.